RNAcentral lists this ribosomal RNA (468 nucleotides) under uncultured bacterium. Its description in RNAcentral is "partial 16S ribosomal RNA". It matches the Rfam family "Bacterial small subunit ribosomal RNA", at positions 28 to 507 of the family's 1533-position model. The record is from RNAcentral.
GACGAACGCUGGCGGCGUGCUUAACACAUGCAAGUCGAACGGAAAGGCCCUGCUUUUGUGGGGUGCUCGAGUGGCGAACGGGUGAGUAACACGUGAGUAACCUGCCCUUGACUUUGGGAUAACUUCAGGAAACUGGGGCUAAUACCGGAUAGGAGCUCCUGCUGCAUGGUGGGGGUUGGAAAGUCUCGGCGGUUGGGGAUGGACUCGCGGCUUAUCAGCUUGUUGGUGGGGUAGUGGCUUACCAAGGCUUUGACGGGUAGCCGGCCUGAGAGGGUGACCGGCCACAUUGGGACUGAGAGACGGCCCAGACUGCUACGGGGGGCAGCAGUGGGGAAUAUUGCACAAUGGGCGGAAGCCUGAUGAAGCAACGCCGCGUGCGGGAUGACGGCCUUCGGGUUGUAAACCGCUUUCGCCUGUGACGAAGCGUGAGUGACGGUAAUGGGUAAAGAAGCACCGGCUAACUACGUG